This 209-nucleotide ribosomal RNA is filed under the name uncultured bacterium. Its description in RNAcentral is "partial 16S ribosomal RNA". It matches the Rfam family "Bacterial small subunit ribosomal RNA", at positions 568 to 774 of the family's 1533-position model. The record is from RNAcentral.
CGCGUAGGCGGUCUUUGCCAGUCAGGCGUGAAAGCCCCCGGGCUUAACCUGGGAACUGCGCUUGAUACUGCGAAGCUAGAGUUCGGGAGAGGAGAGUGGAAUUCCCAGUGUAGAGGUGAAAUUCGUAGAUAUUGGGAAGAACACCAGUGGCGAAGGCGGCUCUCUGGACCGAUACUGACGCUGAGGCGCGAAAGCGUGGGGAGCAAACA